GACGAACGCUGGCGGCGUGCCUAAUACAUGCAAGUAGAACGCUGAAGAGAGGAGCUUGCUCUUCUUGGAUGAGUUGCGAACGGGUGAGUAACGCGUAGGUAACCUGCCUUGUAGCGGGGGAUAACUAUUGGAAACGAUAGCUAAUACCGCAUAACAAUGGAUGACACAUGUCAUUUAUUUGAAAGGGGCAAUUGCUCCACCACAAGAUGGACCUGCGUUGUAUUAGCUAGUAGGUGAGGUAAUGGCUCACCUAGGCGACGAUACAUAGCCGACCUGAGAGGGUGAUCGGCCACACUGGGACUGAGACACGGCCCAGACUCCUACGGGAGGCAGCAGUAGGGAAUCUUCGGCAAUGGGGGCAACCCUGACCGAGCAACGCCGCGUGAGUGAAGAAGGUUUUCGGAUCGUAAAGCUCUGUUGUAAGUCAAGAACGGGUGCGAGAGUGGAAAGUUCACACUGUGACGGUAGCUUACCAGAAAGGGACGGCUAACUACGUG
RNAcentral lists this ribosomal RNA (497 nucleotides) under uncultured bacterium. RNAcentral's name for it is "partial 16S ribosomal RNA". It matches the Rfam family "Bacterial small subunit ribosomal RNA", at positions 28 to 507 of the family's 1533-position model. The record is from RNAcentral.